RNAcentral lists this long non-coding RNA (1468 nucleotides) under Homo sapiens (human). RNAcentral describes it as "HSALNT0366202". The record is from RNAcentral. Lineage: Eukaryota; Metazoa; Chordata; Mammalia; Primates; Hominidae.
GCCACUGUGCCCCAGAGCACCAGUGCUCUCAAUGCCGCAGCUGACCGCUGGGAAAGGCUUCGCACAGGGCCAUGCGGGAAGGAGAUGACAGCCACAGUCCCCUGAGAUGAAGACCUGAAUGCAGAAGCUGCCGCGAAGGAGUCCCCAGAGCUUGCUGUGCGCGGUGCAGGAGGAGGAGUGUGCUGGGGGUGAGGGGGUAAAAACCUGAAGUCUGGAGGAGACCUGGAGUGAUGUGAGGUUGAGUUUCGUGUGGGGCAAGCCGGGUUUGAGAAGCAGGCCACCUUCUUCCAGGGGCACACAUCCAGCAAAUGCAGUGGGAAUGACCUGUGGUUCUUAGGAGAGAGGCUGAGGCAAGAGAUGCGAUUUUUGGAAUCAUCUGGAAAGAAGUUGGGCUGACAAGAGAAGAAAUGGAGCGAGAGGGUAGAAAAGAUAGAGAGAACAGGGCUGAAGACAGAAGCUGUCUAAGGAGGGGAAGGAGCCCAUGAGAGAAACAAUGUGGGAGGGUCGGGACUGUGCAGAGUGAAAGAACUCAGGAGAAGAGGGAUGUUCAGUGGGGGCCUGGGCUACAGAGACACCAGGAAGGAGGUGCCCAAGAAAACAGGUUUAGAUUUGGAAAUCAGGAGAUCUCUGGGGGCUUUCAAGAGAAUUAUUUGAGUGGUGGGUUGUGUAGACAAGAUUGCCACUCCUUGGGGGGCAUCAGGAUCCUGGAUCCAGUUGGUUGAUCCAGGGACACAAAGGUUCAUUUCUUUGAUUUCCUUCACGGGGACUCCGAAGGGCCUCCCCAGAGCCACAGCUUCCAGAGGGAUCUGACGAGGCCUCUGUGGAAAGCAACGCAGUUCAAGUUCAGUCUCUGCCUAAUCCUGUUUUCCUCACUCUCUCAAGGUGAGUGAGGUCUAUGGGGGUAAGCCCCCCCGCCUCCCCGUAGACCUCCUGGAAUGCCUGGAACAGCUCAGCAACCUGGGCACAGGUGGCUUGAGACAACCUAGCCAUUCGGGCCUGCUGCCAGAGUGAACGCCACAGGGAGGCCUGCCGGGUCUGGGGAGCAUGAGCUGGUCAGGCCCCCAGUAGACCCCUUGCAGGCUGAUCUCCAUCUCCAUGCAGAGUCUGUAUCCUAGAAAUCCAACCUGAGAUCCUGCGGCACCGAGAAAGGGAAGCUGUUUCAAGAGAUAGGAAUUGUCAGAAAAAGCCGGAGAAGGUGGUGUUAAAGGAAAACAUUGAGAAUGGGGAGUGAAGACGAGGGUUUUUCGUAGCAGAAGAUGGAUCUUCGAAAGCCAGGAGGCAGAGGAGAGCAACGCUGUCGGUGAGAUAAAGGAAGUUUUCAAAAACCUGCUUCUGUAACUAGUGGACAGGUCUUCUGGAUCCAAGGUCACCUGCUGGGGAGAAAGAGAAGCCUUUGGAUAAACAUCACAAGUUUUCCUGGAACAUGGAUUUUAUUUAAGAUUUUUUGGAAAGAAGGGAAUAAGGUUUU